GCCUCGUCAUUUAUUAGUGACGCGCAUGAAUGGAUUAACGAGAUUCCCACUGUCCCUAUCUACUAUCUAGCGAACCCACAGUCAAGGGAACGGGCUUGACAAGUUGGCGGGGAAAGAAGACCCUGUUGAGUUUGACUCUAGUUUGAUGCUGUGAAACAUCUCGAAAGAUGUAGAAUAAGUGGGAGAUCGUCGAAAGGCGAUCGACGGUGAAAUACCACUACUUUCGACGAUAUUUUACUUAAAAAGUUGAAAGAGAAAUGAUCAGUCAGCAAUGGUUGAUCUUUAUUCUUGAAUUAAUUGGAUUGUAAUACAUCCAAGACUCUGCUUCUUUUAAUAGUAUCAAAUGGGGAAGUUUGGCUGGGGCGGCACUAGUGUUACAAAAUAACGCACUAGUCCUAAGAUGAGCUCAAUGAGAACAGAAAUCUCAUGUAGACCAAAAGGGGGAAAAGCUCAUUUUGAUUUGUGAUUUUUCAGUACGAAUACAAAACGUGAAAGCGUGGCC
RNAcentral lists this ribosomal RNA (502 nucleotides) under uncultured eukaryote. RNAcentral's name for it is "eukaryotic LSU rRNA". It matches the Rfam family "Eukaryotic large subunit ribosomal RNA", at positions 2289 to 2765 of the family's 3401-position model. The record is from RNAcentral.